This 3254-nucleotide long non-coding RNA is filed under the name Homo sapiens (human). RNAcentral describes it as "HSALNT0030969". Lineage: Eukaryota; Metazoa; Chordata; Mammalia; Primates; Hominidae. The record is from RNAcentral.
GAGCAAGUUGGGCUUUUGGAUUGACUAAUGUAAUUGCAGCUGGUUUCUGCCAAAUACAAAUUACUCAGUCUAGUGUGGGCUAGGGAGAAAAGCAAAUAUUUAAUAGACAUCAAUACCCUUGUAGCUUUUUAGUGGAGCCUUUUUUUCCCCUAUGGAAAGUUGAAGUAAUUUCUCCAGCAUCUGAUUGAACUUUCAUGUUGGGGAAUUACUUUUUAAUCAUUUUUUUAAAAAAUAAUGAGACAAAGGCUUUAGUGACUCUGUUGGGUUUUAUCUCUGAUCCAUUUGCCCCUAAGCUUGGGAAACUCACGGGACUUUUACCCGUCCAGCCUGGCUCCCCACAAUCCCUUUCUGCGUGGGCUAGUCCAGCAACUGCGAAUCGGUCUGCGUCACAAAUUGUCACAGCCGAAAGGGGCCUGAGAGAUCAUCUAGUUCAGUAGUUCUCCAAGUGUAUUCCUGGGCCGGAAGCACUGGCCACACCUGGGAACUUGUUAGAAAUGCAUAUUCUCAGGCCUACUGAAUCAGAAGCUCUGGGGUUAGGGCCCAGCAAACUGUGUUUUAACAAACCCUCCAGGUGGUUCUGAUGGAGGCUGAACUUGAGAACCACUGAUCUAGUUCAAGCAUUUCAUUUUACAAAUGAGGAAACUGGGGCCUGGAAAGAGUCUAUGCUUCUGGUCACAGCAGGGACUGUGCCUGUUUCACUCAUUGUGCAUCCCCCAACACACAGGGCCUGGCUUGUGGUAAGCACUCAGUAAAUCUUUGCUGAAUAGAUGAAUAAGGGAAUGAAUAAGCCAGAACUAGAAACAACAUCUCUGAGUCCUAACUCACUCCACCAGAGCUUUCUCUUGCCCCAGGGAAGGAUGGAGGCAUGGGGGAAGAACUGCUUCUUGGUUCUUGCUUUGUGAGAGGCUUGAAGCAUUGUAUCUGUGGCCUGUCCUGUAGGAGGAUGGCAGCUCUACCGCCAAGGUCUUGCUCCCCAGCCACGGGCCAGUCUUGUUCACUGUCCCUGCACCAGUAGUUUGACCAAGCCCAUGCCCCACUAGGAAUUGUGUCUGUUGCUUUCAUAGAUCCUGUCACUGUCUGAGGCAUAAUCAGGCCCCCUGCCUAGGUCUUAGAUUCCCUGACCAAUAAGCUCAGCUCAGAGAGUGAAUGGGGAGAAUUAAAGUGAGAUCCAAUUCAUGAAAAAAGAGAUUUCUAAGGCAAGGGUCCUAGGAAGGUGGGUCUUCAGGUUCAGUUACUGGGUCCUGUGAAGCCAAGGAGGAGGGGGUGGGGAGAGGGAGGGAGAGAGGGAGAGGAAGAGAGGAGAGAGAGACAGAGAGAGAGAGAGAGAGAAAGAGAGAGAGAGAGUCGGUCCUCAAAGUUUUUAGUUGCAGACAUGUAGAGCCAUGUUGCCUGGAUCUGGGUGGCGUACCCCUGGCUGCCUUGGUCCCCCAGCCCUGGCCUGCUGACCCUCUCUGAAAUGAGAAGAAGGGGAAGGCAAACAGGAUUCAAGAGUUUUUAAACAAAAAAGGAGAUCUCCCAGGGCAUGAGUGACAGGCUUCUGAGAAGGUUCCUGGGUCCCUGAUCCUGUUACAUUCUAUGAACUAACUACGCAACUGAAAGUAUCAAUCCACAUGGAUCCAACCACUCAAGGAGCUUAUGUUCUUCGAACCUCAAGUUCAAAUGGCUCUCACGCCAUACUGCUACCCAAGUGCCUUAUCUUUGAUUGUCUACAUGCCUAUAGUCCCCACAGAAGAGCAGAGUGAUCUUUCCAAUGUUGAUAGAAAACUCUUUGGAUACUCAAUGCCUUCAUAGUUAUUGCCACACUUCCCUGAGACCUAUCCUUAGGAAAGAACUUGAUAAACUCAUUCACUUACAGGUGGUAGCAACCAGUAAGAGCUGCCUUUUCCAUCCCCAUGGAAGAUUUAAGCUGAUGAUUUCAUACCUUAGUGCUAGCUAUUAAUUCCUAACUUGUGGUUGACUAACCCACAACUUCUUCUCUGGGCCCUGCAUAUUUUGUAUUUUUUCAUGCUCUUUGGGGCUCCCAGUAGAGGGAUAAAGAGAUUCCUAGUUGCAGACAGAUUCUUAACUUUAUGUGUUCUUGAGUUAAAGAGCUCUAUUGUAAAGGGUAACUUUACUAACAGAUAAUUAUUGGGCACCUACUGGGGCAAGGCAAUGUUCUAGAUGCUGACAGUGAAAAAAGACAGAUGAGGUUCCUGCAUCCAUGGGUUUACAUUCUAGAUCAAGGAAAUGGAAAAUAAACAAGUUAACAAAUAAGUGAGGAACAUAACUUCCAAAGGCAAGAAGUGCUGUGAAAACAAUAAAGCGGGAUGAAGUAGAGUGACUUUAGGAGCCAAGUUAGAUGUGUUCCUCGGGGAAAGCCUCUCUAAGGAGGUGCCAUUUGAGCUAACUGAACAGGAAGGAGCCAGGUCUGUAGUCGGGGGUGAACUUAGUGUGUUCAGAAACAGAGGCCUGUGUGGCUAGAUGUGCAUGUCCUUGAGAAGAGCAAUCUUAGGGGAGGGUUGGGGGCAGGUGGCAGACUAUGACAACAUCCUUAGUUCUUUGCAAUUGUUUUAUGAUGAAGGGAAGCAGGUAAAUGGGCUGGAAACUGGAGGAGGUAAUCAAGUUCAAGGGAGGAAUCUGUUGUGGUGAUCUGGUUUGUGUGUCUGUGUGUGUGCUUUGUUUUUUGUUUUUGAGACAGAGUUUUGCUCUUAUUGCCCAGGCUGGAGUGCAAAGGCACGAUCUCAGCUCACCACAAUUACCGCCUCCCAGGUUCAAGUGAUUCUUCCGCCUCAGCCUCCCGAGUAGCUGGGAUUACAGGUAUGCAUCACCACACCCAGCUAAUUUUGUAUUUUUAGUUGAGACGGGUUUCACCAUGUUGGUCAGGCUGGUCUCGAACUCCCGACCUCAGGUGAUCCACCCGCCUCAGCCUCCGAAAGUGCUGGGAUUACAGGCGUGAGCCACCGCAGCUGGCCAGGUUUGUGUGUUUUUAUGGAAGAGGGUUGGAUGUUGAUAGGGAUGAUCAACACACGUUCCUAUGUGAGAACUCCCAACCCUGACCCUCCUACCCUCCGUGGAAGGGCCAGGCAACUGACAAAGACCCCCACCUACUGCUCCUUCAUCCCUGCAUGCUGCCUACACCGGCAGACACUCAGAGAAGACUUUCAACCCCCUAUUUGUGCUGACUGCACACCAUCUUGAGCUGCAGUAGAUAUUGGGGUCACCUUGGAGCCCCAGUCCUUGCAGAGACUUUCCCAGCUGAAUCUUAUUAUGUCUAC